UAGACGUCUAGUAUUUUUUUAGACCUGAUUUCAACCGUCUAGAUUCCGUCUGUUUUUAGACGGAAUUUAGACGUUGCAGUUUAAUCAAUUAUUCUAUAAUUAUUUAUUAAAAAAAACAACUGUAAGGUGCAUAGCUAAUCUCCAAAUACUGAACUAAUAUAAUUAUGAAAGCUGUUGAGCGAUAUACAGUAUAGUAUAAAUAUAGCCGAGAUUUAGACGUCUAAAUCUCUACCGCAUUUCAACGUCUAGAUAUAGACCGAAUCUAGACAACUGAAUUUAAUCCAUUAUUUAAAAGUUGUUUAUUUAAAACAAUAACUACAAGUUGCAAAACUGAUCUCUAAAUAUUGGAUUGAGAUCAUUUUAAUAGCCGUUGAGCGAUAUACAGUAUAGUAUAAAUAUAGCCGAGAUUUAGACAUCUAAAUCUCUACCGCAUUUCAACGUCUAGAUAUAGACCGAAUCUAGACAACUGAAUUUAAUCCAUCAUUCAGUACUUUAAACAAUAACUACACGUUGCAAAACUGAUCUCUAAAUAUUGGAUUGAGAUCAUUUUAAUAGCCAUACUCGUUAUAAGGUAUAGUUUAGAUGUAGACGUCUAAAAUCCCUAAUUUCAGCGUCGAUAAUUACACCAUUCAAUUUAUUUUACAUCUUUAGAAUACAGGAAAACAAAAAUCUGAUGGAAGAGCCAACUCUUUGAAGUGCACAGCUUUCACAGUAGAGUGAUCGGUGUUUUCGCGUUAUUCCAUCAAAACGUAUGAAACCUCCACAAAACCUUCGGUAAAUCUGAAAGCCCAGAUCCUGCUGAGCACUCGACAACGAAGUUUGUGGCUGAAAUUCCCUUAGAUUAUUAGAUGUCGGUUGUGUUUUCUCAGCCUCUGUAACGCUGACUGCCACCAUGUUGCUUUCGUUGUUGACAAAAACCUCUUUGGUGUACUACGCUCACGUGACGCACCUUGCAACCACUUCUGGGAAACGUUCUUCCGCUCAAAGAGAAGUAGUCCGUGAUAAAACUUAACUACUUUACAGUCUUGUGGAGAUUGUACGACCAUAACCUGAAAACGCCUUCAACUUGUGCCUGUGGACUGCGCUACUUCCAACUGUGAAAUCCUUGUGCUCAUGCGCUCCACUGUACUGAAACAACCGCAGAAAAGUUGGUCGAAGAAGUGCUGUUUCAGGCAUACAGAGGUGGGUGUCGCAGCAACUACUACAGAAAUUUUUUUAUUUUUGCAAUGUUUGGUCCUUUUACCGUCAUUCAUUAAUUUAGCAUUUGCUUAUUUUAAUUAAGGGCCUGCUCUCUCUGUAGGAAUUGAGGUUAAAAGCUUCUGCUUCGGCUAUUUUCCAAACAUUUUACUGUUUAACUUCGAAGACGAGAUAUAUUCAGAUGCCAAUACUUGACCAUAAUACACAUAAUUCACCAUAAUUCAUAAUACAAUAGGCAGCCACAUUUGCAGUUUUUCUUCAUUUGUUCUAUUGCUUUGUUUGCAGAAGCAAUUCGGAAGAAUUUUAAGGAGGCUACAGACGACCAAAUCCGCUUGGCCAUGGGAUUCUAUUUCAAACAGGCCCCAGCUCGGACUGGUGGAGGGGGGUACAGGAGACCCAGGACACCAGUGGUGUAGUUUUAUUUUAAAGGUUUGGUUUGCAGCAAUAAAACAAACAAACAAAAAAAAUAUAUAUAAAAAAAUGUUGUUGUUAUUGUUAUGGUUUUAAUUUUGUAUUUACAAGUUGUUCUAUUUUUUCAGUGCAAUGUUUAUGUAACCCAGCUCCAGAAGGGUUAAUAAAUAAAAUCAAUUAAUUUGCAGUCAUUAUUUAAUUAUUUCCUUAUGUUUAUAAGUGUUUUGUAUUUUACUUUGAAAAACCUGAAGUUUAUUUUGAAGACCGGAAGUAGUAGGCCGCGCUAGUGAAGCAGUUUAACCUCACUAAUGCACAGACGGAGCACGCCACUUCACUUCCGCGUGAGAGAGAAAAACGGGAAAAAAGGUAUGGAAACUGUACAAUUUCGCAGUCAAACUGAGAAAUGAAGUAGUUGUUGAUACCAUGCUCCGAAAACUCCGUUUCAGAGAGGAAAAACCGUCGUUGAAGCACUUUCCGGCCGCGUUUCUCCUGAAAAAACCAUUGGUCAGGUUCUAUUGUGAUGCUUGGAAAGAGUGAAGCUUCAGCUUUCAUGUCUGACGAAGCUGAUGAGCGAUCCAACUGAUGGCGAGCUCCCAGUCCACCUUCGGUGCUUCAAGCAGAACUUUUAAUUCCGCCACACCACUUAAUGGAUUAAGUGGUAGGAUUUGUGUCAGUCCAACUGACCGGCAGCAACGAAAGCCUUCCUUGGAUAUCCUUGAAUCUUGACUUUUGACUUUUGGAUCCAAACCACCGAGGAACACUCCCAUUUGGACAUUUAUUUAUUUUAUUUUAUUUCUUAGUUUAUGGGCCCAAGGUUGUAAUGUUAUUGUGUUUAGUAUUGUUAAGAUCUUUGUGGAACUAAAGAGUUUCAAAUCAUUC
This is a long non-coding RNA of Salarias fasciatus (jewelled blenny), 2487 nucleotides long. RefSeq lists it as uncharacterized. The transcript has 2 exons. NCBI's taxonomy places the organism in Eukaryota, Metazoa, Chordata, Actinopteri, Blenniiformes, Blenniidae. The record is from RefSeq and is a predicted model, not a curated record.